UCAGAGUCAUGAGAAUAUAUUCCAACUGUGUUGAAAAGCUAAGUUUGGGGUAAAAACCCCAAAAGCUCUCAAAGCCCUAGAAAGUGCAAAAACAAGAGAAAAAGAAAAAGUGAUGAAUCGAGAAAAAGAAAGAAAAAUAAAAAUCAAAUACUCGAUGAUUCAAAAGAAAGAAGCACGGAAAAGGAUAGUCGGUAAAAAUUCAAGAAAUAAGAAAAGAAAACCGAGGAAAUAAAAGAAACCAACACAGGAUAUAACAUCGACUCUGAGCCAAAAGCCC
Molecule: long non-coding RNA, 277 nt
Filed under: Lathyrus oleraceus (garden pea)
Lineage: Eukaryota; Viridiplantae; Streptophyta; Magnoliopsida; Fabales; Fabaceae
Description: Pisum sativum (pea) long non-coding RNA (PSAT_LNC005230)
Source: RNAcentral